Molecule: transfer RNA, 74 nt
Filed under: Acinetobacter baumannii
Lineage: Bacteria; Pseudomonadati; Pseudomonadota; Gammaproteobacteria; Moraxellales; Moraxellaceae
Description: tRNA-Gln
Rfam family: tRNA
About the family: Transfer RNA (tRNA) molecules are approximately 80 nucleotides in length. Their secondary structure includes four short double-helical elements and three loops (D, anti-codon, and T loops).
Source: RNAcentral
UGCUCUAUGGUGUAAUGGUAGCACUACAGUUUUUGGUUCUGUCAGUGGUGGUUCGAGUCCACCUAGAGUAACUA